UACGUAGGGUGCAAGCGUUGUCCGGAAUUAUUGGGCGUAAAGAGCUCGUAGGCGGUUUGUCGCGUCUGCUGUGAAAACUCGGGGCUUAACUCCGGGCCUGCAGUGGGUACGGGCAGACUAGAGUGCGGUAGGGGAGACUGGAAUUCCUGGUGUAGCGGUGAAAUGCGCAGAUAUCAGGAAGAACACCAAUGGCGAAAGCAGCUCUCUGGGACGGUACUGACGCUGAGACGCGAAAGCGUGGGGAGCGAACAGG
Molecule: ribosomal RNA, 253 nt
Filed under: uncultured bacterium
Lineage: Bacteria
Description: partial 16S ribosomal RNA
Rfam family: Bacterial small subunit ribosomal RNA
Source: RNAcentral